Molecule: ribosomal RNA, 465 nt
Filed under: uncultured bacterium
Lineage: Bacteria
Description: partial 16S ribosomal RNA
Rfam family: Bacterial small subunit ribosomal RNA
Source: RNAcentral
GACGAACGCUGGCGGCGUGCUUAACACAUGCAAGUCGAACGGAAAGGCCCCUUUGGAGGUACUCGAGUGGCGAACGGGUGCGUAACACGUGAGUAACCUGCCCUUGACUUCGGGAUAACUUCAGGAAACUGGGGCUAAUACCGGAUAGGAAUCCUUGCUGCAUGGUGGGGGUUGGAAAGCUUCGGCGGUUUUGGAUGGACUCGCGGCUUAUCAGCUUGUUGGUGGGGUAGUGGCUUACCAAGGCUUUGACGGGUAGCCGGCCUGAGAGGGCGACCGGCCACAUUGGGACUGAGCUACGGCCCAGACGCCUACGGGAGGCAGAAGUGGGGAAUAUUGAACAAUGGGCGGAAGCCUGAUGCAGCAACGCCGCGUGCGGGAUGACAGCCUUCGGGUUGUAAACCGCUUUCAGCAGGGGCGAAGCUUGUGGUGACGGUACCUGCAGAAGAAGCACCGGCUAACUACGUG